GUGUAGCUCAGUGGUAGAGUGGGUGCUUCAUGUGCAUGAGGCCCUGGGCUCAAUCCCCAGCAC
This 63-nucleotide transfer RNA is filed under the name Heterocephalus glaber (naked mole-rat). It matches the Rfam family "tRNA", at positions 5 to 66 of the family's 71-position model. Rfam says of the family: Transfer RNA (tRNA) molecules are approximately 80 nucleotides in length. Their secondary structure includes four short double-helical elements and three loops (D, anti-codon, and T loops). Further hydrogen bonds mediate the characteristic L-shaped molecular structure. tRNAs have two regions of fundamental functional importance: the anti-codon, which is responsible for specific mRNA codon recognition, and the 3' end, to which the tRNAs corresponding amino acid is attached (by aminoacyl-tRNA synthetases). tRNAs cope with the degeneracy of the genetic code in two manners: having more than one tRNA (with a specific anti-codon) for a particular amino acid; and 'wobble' base-pairing, i.e. permitting non-standard base-pairing at the 3rd anti-codon position. The record is from Rfam by way of RNAcentral. Lineage: Eukaryota; Metazoa; Chordata; Mammalia; Rodentia; Bathyergidae.